AGCAGCCGCGGUAAUUCCAGCUCCAAUAGCGUAUAUUAAAGUUGUUGCAGUUAAAAAGCUCGUAGUUGAAUUUCGAGAUCAAUAUGUUGGUCGUGCCUCGGUACGUACUUGCAUAAUUGAUUUCUCCCUUCUGAUGAACCAUGAUGCCAUUAAUUUGGUGUUGUGGGGAAUCAGGACUGUUACUUUAGAAAAAAUUAGAGUGUUUAAAGCAGGCUAACGCUUGAAUACAUUAGCAUGGAAUAACGGAAUAGGACGUUCGAUCUUAUUUUGUUGGUUUCUAAGAUUGACGUAAUGAUUAAUAGGGAUAGUUGGGGGCAUUAGUAUUCAAUUGUCAGAGGUGAAAUUCUUGGAUUUAUUGAAGACUAACUACUGCGAAAGCAUUUGCCAAGGAUGUUUUCAUUAAUCAAGAACGAAAGUUAGGGGAUCGGAGACGAUCAGACACCGUCGUAGUCUUAACCAUAAACUAUGCCGACUAGGGAUCGGAUGAUGUUAAUUUUUAAUGACUCAUUCGGCGCCUUAA
This 520-nucleotide ribosomal RNA is filed under the name uncultured Glomus. Its description in RNAcentral is "SSU rRNA". It matches the Rfam family "Eukaryotic small subunit ribosomal RNA", at positions 569 to 1091 of the family's 1831-position model. The record is from RNAcentral. Lineage: Eukaryota; Fungi; Glomeromycota; Glomeromycetes; Glomerales; Glomeraceae.